Molecule: non-coding RNA, 29 nt
Filed under: Homo sapiens (human)
Lineage: Eukaryota; Metazoa; Chordata; Mammalia; Primates; Hominidae
Source: RNAcentral
UGCCUUUAAAAUCCAUUCCUGGCUGCUGC